This 391-nucleotide ribosomal RNA is filed under the name Chrysophyceae sp. RNAcentral describes it as "partial small subunit ribosomal RNA". It matches the Rfam family "Eukaryotic small subunit ribosomal RNA", at positions 582 to 975 of the family's 1831-position model. The record is from RNAcentral. Lineage: Eukaryota; Chrysophyceae.
AUUCCAGCUCCAAUAGCGUAUACUAAAGUUGUUGCAGUUAAAAAGCUCGUAGUUGAAUUUCUGGGUGUGAUAGGCGGUCCGUGUGCAUAACAUGUGUACCUCCCUCUCAUGCCCAUCCUCGAAGUGAAUAUGCAUUGCCUUAACUGUGUCGUGUAUAGGACCUUCGUCAUUUACUGUGAGCAAAAUAGAGUGUUCAAAGCAGGCUUAUGCCGUUGAAUAUAUUAGCAUGGAAUAAUAAGAUAUGACUUCUGUCUAUUUUGUUGGUUUGCAUUCGGAAGUAAUGAUUAAUAGGGAUAGUUGGGGGUUUUCGUAUUCAAUUGUCAGAGGUGAAAUUCUUGGAUUUAUGGAAGACGAACUACUGCGAAAGCAUCAACCAAGGAUGUUUUCAUUG